UUUGAUCUUAGGUCGGGCAGGAGCACCCGCCCAAUUUAAGCAUAUAACUAAGCGGAGGAAGAGAAACCAACGGGGAUUCCCUUGGUAGAGGCGAGCGAACCGGGAAUAGCCCAGACUGAAAAUCCGGGGGCUGUGCUGCUCCCUGAAUUGUAGUCUUGAGAGGCAACCUCUGCAGCGGGCCGUGUGCAGGUUCCCUGGAAGGGGACGCCGAAGAGGGUGACAACCCCGUCGACCGUCGGAUCCUGUUGUGCAACGAGGUCUUGUCCAAGAGUCGGGUUGCUUGGGAAUGCAGCCCCAAUUGGGUGGUAAGUCCCAUCCAAGGCUAAAUAUGUGCGAGGGAACGAUAGCAAAGAAGUACCGCGAGUGAAGGAUGAAAAGAACUUUGAAAAGAGAGUUAAAGAGUGCUUGAAAUUGCCGAGCGAGAAGCGGAUGGAGGGGAAGUCUUGCGCUCCCGUCUGGGCAAGGGUGGACGGCGAUUCUGUUGUCGCCCCCCUUGUUGGACGUGGGGUGCCUGCCAGCAUGGGCUGCUGUGAUUGGCAUUGCGGAGCGAUUGAAACCCCCCACGGGUGGCCGUCACGGCAGUCGAGGACCUUGAGCACGCRCCUCUUUCGGCGGGCCCGUUCGGGAUCGUGCGUGUUCGGGAUGCUGGCGAAAUUCCUCUAUCCUGCCCGUCUUGAAACACGGACCGAGGAGUUCAAYGUGCAUGCGAGCCGGUGGGUGAUCAGCCCAGGAGGCGGAAGAAACCUGAGUGGUGGGACCCCUCUGAGGGUGCACCGUCCGCCAACCACGAUCUGCUGUGAGAGGUUUGAGUGUGAGCAUGCCCGUUGGGACCCGAAAGAUGGUGAACUAUACCUGAGCAGGGCGAGGCCAGAGGAAACUCUGGUGGAGGCUCGCAGCGAUACUGACGUGCAAAUCGUUCGUCGGACUUGGGUAUAGGGGCGAAAGACUAAUCGAACYGUCUAGUAGCUGGUUCCCUCCGAAGUUUCCGUCAGGAUAGCUGGAGUUGUUGAACAGUUUUAUCGGGUAAAGCGAAUGAUUAGAGGCCUCGGGGGUGAAACACCCUCGACCUAUUCUCAAACUUUAAGUAGGUAAGAUUUCGGGGUUGCUUAAGCGAACCCCGAGGAUCAAUGAAAGCUCCAAGUGGGCCAGUUUUGGUAAGCAGAACUGAUGAUGUGGGAUGAACCGAAAGUCAAGCUACGGUGCCAAACUGCGCGCUAACCCAGACACCACAAAGGGUGUUCAUUGAUAAAGACAGCAGGACGGUGGUCAUGGAAGUCGAAAUCCGSUAAGGAGUGUGUAACAACUCACCUGCCGAAUCAAUCAGCCCCGRAAAUGGAUGGCGCUGAAGCGCGCGACCUAUGCUCGGCCGUCUCGUCGAUUCUGACGCCGCGACGAGUAGGAGGGCGCGAGACCUGCUGCGAAGCUUGGAGCGUGAGCGUAGGUGAAGCGGGUCCCGGUGCAGAUCUUGGUGGUAGUAGCAAAUAUUCAAAUGAGAACUUUGAAGACCGAAGUGGAGAAGGGUUCCAUGUGAACAGCNGUAGUAGCAAAUAUUCAAAUGAGAACUUUGAAGACCGAAGUGGAGAAGGGUUCCAUGUGAACAGCGCUUGGACAUGGGUCAGUCGGCCCUAAGAGAUGUGGAAACCGUGUAUCAAGGGCGCACUGCGCGCCGCACAUCGAAAGGGGGYCGGGUUAAUAUUCCCGAACCGGGUUGUGGAGGUGGACGGUAACGUAAGCAGCUCCGAAGAUGCCGGCGGGGGCCGUGGGGAGGGUUCUCUUUCCUUCUUGACUGCUCGCCCACCCUGGAAUCGGAUCAACCGGAGAUAGGGUGCGGCGCCCGACAAAGCACCGCGUCCUGCGGUGUCCAGCGCGCCCCCGACGACCCUUGAAAAUCUGGAGCUGCGGGUACCUCUCACUCUCGGCCGUACUCAUAACCGCAUYAGGUCUCCUAGGUGAGCAGCCUCCGGUCAAAGGAAGAAUGCAGGUAAGGGAAGUCGGCAAUAUGGAUCCGUAACCUUGGGAAAAGGAUUGGCUCUGAGGGCUGGGCCUAGGGCCCAGUGCUCUGAAUGUCAAAGUGAAGAGAUUCAACCAAGCGAGGGUAAACGGCGGGAGUAACUAUGACUCUCUUAAGAUAGCCAAAUGCCUCGUCAUCUAAUUAGUGACCCGCAUGAAUGGAUUAACGAGAUUCCCACUGUCCCUAUCUACCAUCCUGCGAAACCACAGCCAAGAAAACGGGCUUGGAAGAAUCGGCGGGGAAAGAAGACCCUGUUGAGCUUGACUCUAGUUCGACUCUGUGAAAUCACUUGAGAGGUGUAGAAUAAGUGGCAGCCUUACGACGCAAGUGAAAUAGCACCACUUUUAACGUUGUUUUACUUAUUUCGUGAGGUGGAGCCGGGGCUCUGCCCCUGCUUCUCGAUCCAAGGUGCAGGCCCUCGUGCGCUGUUCCAUCCAAGCGAAAGACAUUUGUCCGGUGGGGAGUUUGGCUGGGGCGGCACAUCUGUUAGAAGAUAACGCAGGUGUCCUAAGAUAAGCUUAACGAGAAUUGAAAUCUCGUGUAGAGCAAAAGGGCAAAAGCUCAUUUGAUUUUGAUUUCCAGUACGAAUACAAACUGUGAGAGCGUGGAUGGCAAGAGUCCGAGUGGUUAGGACACCGGUUAGAAAUGCGCAUUGUGGUUUAAAGGUUGCGGGUUCAAAUCCGCUUCCUUGCGCAUAGGCUGCCGUUUCGCGCUUUCAUAGCGAAUAGCCAUCCACACACCGGUUGCUGCGGGUUGGAGUCGGUGUUGGGGGGAUCGAGUCCCGGCUGCAGUU
RNAcentral lists this ribosomal RNA (2804 nucleotides) under Chara braunii. RNAcentral's name for it is "eukaryotic LSU rRNA". The record is from RNAcentral. Lineage: Eukaryota; Viridiplantae; Streptophyta; Charophyceae; Charales; Characeae.